GCACGUAGUUAGCCGGUGCUUAUUCUUCAGGUACCGUCAUUAGUUCGGGGUAUUAGCCCAAACCGUUUCUUCCCUGACAAAAGCGGUUUACAACCCGAAGGCCUUCUUCCCGCACGCGGCAUGGCUGGAUCAGGCUUGCGCCCAUUGUCCAAAAUUCCCCACUGCUGCCUCCCGUAGGAGUCUGGGCCGUGUCUCAGUCCCAGUGUGGCUGGUCGUCCUCUCAGACCAGCUACGGAUCGUAGCCUUGGUAGGCUUUUACCCCACCAACUAGCUAAUCCGACAUCGGCCGCUCCAAUAGCGCGAGGUCUUGCGAUCCCCCGCUUUCACCCGUAGGUCGUAUGCGGUAUUAAUCCGGCUUUCGCCGGGCUAUCCCCCACAACUGGGCACGUUCCGAUGUAUUACUCACCCGUUCGCCACUCGCCACCAGGAUUGCUCCCGUGCUGCCGUUCGACUUGCAUGUGUAAGGCAUGCCGCCAGCGUUCAAU
RNAcentral lists this ribosomal RNA (485 nucleotides) under uncultured bacterium. RNAcentral describes it as "partial 16S ribosomal RNA". The record is from RNAcentral.